This is a long non-coding RNA of Vitis riparia (riverbank grape), 543 nucleotides long. RefSeq lists it as uncharacterized. NCBI's taxonomy places the organism in Eukaryota, Viridiplantae, Streptophyta, Magnoliopsida, Vitales, Vitaceae. The transcript has 2 exons. The record is from RefSeq and is a predicted model, not a curated record.
AUGAGGGCUGAACUGGUGAAGAGAUACCUCAUUCUUGGUUUUCUCACAUUCACAACCCUAAUUUUUCUGUGGAGUACACUCAUAACAGUUGUAGGUAGAGAAGGAAAGAUGGAGAAAUUGAUCACCGUGCAGAUGAUGCAAAAACCCCCAAGCCCGCCACCGCCACCACCAAGUGUGCCGUCAGGGCCUUGGCCUUGAUGCAGUAGCGGAGUCAAGAAAUGAAUAGAGAAGGGACAAGAUAUGUAAGAAGGGUAGAAAAUCAAUAAAGUCAUCACAUUGCUCACUACUACUAAUGAAUGAGCUCUUUUCAAUAUUCUCUAAUGAGGGGUUCAAAUCCCGUUAGAGUCAAAUUUAUAAAAUAAAAUAAAACAAAUCAUUUUUUUUUUUUUUUUAAUUUUAUGAGGGAAAGUACCUCUUCUGGGUACUAUCUGGCUUCUACUGUCUUGAUGGGCAUUUCAUGAGUUUCAUGUAUGUAUCACAGCAUUAGAAUUCAUUGUUAUCUUUACAUGAAGAAUGAAUAAUAGCUAUGCUCAAGGUUAUAUA